UACGGAGGGAGCAAGCGUUACUCGGAAUUAUUGGGCGUAAAGGGCGCGUAGGCGAUCCUGCAAGUCUCGUGUGAAAGCCCAGAGCCUAACUCUGGAAGGGCACGAGAUACUGAAGGAUUUGAGUUCCGGAGAGGAAGAUGGAAUUCCCGGUGUAGCGGUGAAAUGCGUAGAUAUCAAGAGGAACACCAGUGGCGAAGGCGAGUCCCUGGACAACACCUGACACUGAGGCACGAAAGCCGGGGGAGCAAACAGG
This 253-nucleotide ribosomal RNA is filed under the name uncultured bacterium. RNAcentral's name for it is "partial 16S ribosomal RNA". It matches the Rfam family "Bacterial small subunit ribosomal RNA", at positions 524 to 776 of the family's 1533-position model. The record is from RNAcentral.